RNAcentral lists this ribosomal RNA (175 nucleotides) under Delturus carinotus. Its description in RNAcentral is "partial small subunit ribosomal RNA". RNAcentral also lists the same sequence under 2 other names. The record is from RNAcentral. Lineage: Eukaryota; Metazoa; Chordata; Actinopteri; Siluriformes; Loricariidae.
CACCGCGGUUAUACGAAAGACCCUAGUUGACAAACACGGCGUAAGGGGUGGUUAGGGAACAAAUAAAAAUAAAGCCAAAGACCUCCUAAGCCGUUAUACGCACUCCGGAGACACGAAGCCCCAACACGAAAGUAGCUUUACCUAAACUUCGCCUGACCCCACGAAAGCUAAGAAA